This 437-nucleotide ribosomal RNA is filed under the name uncultured bacterium. Its description in RNAcentral is "bacterial SSU rRNA". It matches the Rfam family "Bacterial small subunit ribosomal RNA", at positions 338 to 792 of the family's 1533-position model. The record is from RNAcentral.
CCUACGGGAGGCAGCAGUGGGGAAUAUUGCACAAUGGGGGAAACCCUGAUGCAGCGACGCCGCGUGAGUGAAGAAGUAUUUCGGUAUGUAAAGCUCUAUCAGCAGGGAAGAAAAUGACGGUACCUGACUAAGAAGCCCCGGCUAACUACGUGCCAGCAGCCGCGGUAAUACGUAGGGGGCAAGCGUUAUCCGGAUUUACUGGGUGUAAAGGGAGCGCAGGCGGCGUGGCAAGUCAGAUGUGAAAACCCGGGGCCCAACCCCGGGAGUGCAUUUGAAACUGCCAUGCUGGAGUGCCGGAGAGGUAAGCGGAAUUCCUAGUGUAGCGGUGAAAUGCGUAGAUAUUAGGAGGAACACCAGUGGCGGAGGCGGCUUACUGGACGAUGACUGACGCUGAGGCUCGAAAGCGUGGGGAGCAAACAGGAUUAGAUACCCCUGUA